This is a long non-coding RNA of Pogoniulus pusillus (Red-fronted tinkerbird), 7096 nucleotides long. RefSeq lists it as uncharacterized. The record is from RefSeq and is a predicted model, not a curated record. NCBI's taxonomy places the organism in Eukaryota, Metazoa, Chordata, Aves, Piciformes, Lybiidae. The transcript has 2 exons.
CAAAGAGAUCUAUUCAUUUCCUAAGGCUUUUCCCUUCUCACAUUUUCUAUAUGCUGCUUCCUAUUCCCUCCUCCCAUGUAGUGUUCCUGAGUUUCCUGAUGCCAGUUUUCUUUCUCUUCACUGUACCUUGUUUCCUAUCAGACUGGUAGUAGAUGCUGUUAAAAUGCAAAAAGUGCAGCUUAUGGGGAGAAUGGAGACUGGGCUCUUCUUACCAGUCUCUGUGAGCUCACAGCUGAUACAGAGUUUUGCCUUGCCAACCAGAAGCCAUCCUUGUUGCUGAGCCAAAUAAAGGCAGAAUCCCCAGUCAAAACUGUCCAAAAGCAGGGACAGUGUAAAACCGAGAGCCAUGCAAAAAGGUAGGACCCAUCCCAAAGCAGGGAUGGUGCAAAAUGGGAAUUCUGUCACAGCAGGAACCUGUCCUGUCAGGAACUCUGUCAAGGUGGGAACUCACUCACCUUCUCCCUUGCUCUAUUUAUCCUUUUCUAGACCAAGUGUCCAUUUGCCAUUUUAUACUGGAUGCGAAAACCCAGCCACCCACCAGCCCGACUCCAGCACAGGCUCUCACAUGGGUCAGCACACCUCUGAAAGGCGCCUGCUGCUGGUCCCCUUCAAACCUGCAGGACUGGCGGGGAAAGCAGUUUUCAUGCUGCCUUCUCCCCAUUCAAACCAUUGAGGUGGGGGAAAAGAAAGGUGUUUGGAAUACUCUGGAACAAUUCCUUCAGUCAUUUGCUUCAUUUUGGUAAAUUUGUGAUGUUGUAGUCUCUACACAAAUUCAAAGACAACUUUGCUAACAUCAUUAGAGGCCUUUCUUAAAAAAAAACAAAAAAAAACCAAAAAAACAAACAAAACAAACAAAAACCCAACAAGUACAGCAUUCACUUGUACCAGGAAAUUCAGUUCACCACGAAAAUACCACUGCUUCUCACAUGUAGGUCAGACAGCUUUGAAAAGAGGCACUGUGAAGAUGCAUGAUUAUGAAAAUGAGGGUACAGGUAACUUGUAGAUGCACUCAACAGAGCAGUCCAUUGUCCACCAGCUUCCCUCUUAAAAGCCUGCUGCAGGCAGCUGCCCAAGCAGAGCUUGACUAGCAGCAUUCACAGCCUUCAUCAGUGAUGAGAUGUAGACUAUUUUUGUCAUACCUGUUUCCAAGGAAGUAGCUGUGUUCCUGAGAAGGCUGCAGGUUACAAAAUUUCUGAGUGAAUUUCUACUUUGUGCUAUUGCAGUAACUUUAAGAAAUCUUGCAGAUCUCCCUUAUUUUCCCCUUGUAAUUAGAUAAAAAAAACCCUUCAGUGUCAAGUAGCAAUUGGCCUUCUUUAUUGUGGAUGUCUCAGGGAUGCAGUUUUUCUUAUAACAGGAUGAUUUGGGUUAUCACUAUGCUUCUUUUCCAGUGCACAGAUGGUUGUAGAUGGCAGAGAAUAUACUGCAGCUGCCUGCACCUCACCUCAGGUGAUAAAAGAACAUUUCUAGGAAUGCAAUUGCAUGAAGUCUAAGGUACUACUUCCAUUAAGAUCUGCACUUCCUCUUUAAAAUGAUGCUGCUCCCAGCUUGAUGUCACAGUUGACUCAUCCCUGUACCAUGAACUGCCUUCACCCCUCUGUGCCAAAGCAAGUGGGAAAUUUCUCUGAUGGUUGGUUUUGUCACUGUCCCUUGGUUACCUGCACAACAGAGCCCCAAGGAAACUAGGUUCAGGUUGCAGAAACCCCUCACCAGCUAGUGCCAAGCUGAGUUGACAUUCUGACUCUUGUUCUGCAACCCCAGUUUUGUCACUGUCCCUUGGUUACCUGCACAGGGCAGUCCCAAGGCAGCUAGGUUCAGGUUGCAGAAGCCCCUUGUUAGCCAGUGUCAGAGCUGAGUUGACACUGAUUUGUAUUCUGCAGCCUCUUUAGAUGGGAGUCCAACGGAAUCGAUUGGUAGCUCAUGCUGCUACUCAGCAAAGUGGGAGUAUUGACUAAAUCUCCCUCAUGCACCCUAGUCCAGGUACUUGUGGCUGUAUCACAGCAAGACUCAUGGAUGUUGGUAUUUUCUGAGCAUAUCAUACCCUUUUUACCUUGCUGUUUUCACAUUUAUGCUCCCCCAAGCACUCUUAUGUUUACUUGUAACUCUAGCCCUCCACCUAUUCAAACGCCUUUGUGUAAUGGCUGGCUAGUAAACCAAACUAGCACCUCAGGCUUUUCGCAAGCUUUCUGAAUAUGCAGAUUUUCCAACCUAUCUUAAGUGAUACUUCAGUGAAGAAAAUAAUCUCUUUACCGAGGAUAUUGUUCUGUGUUUUGUGGCUCCUAAUGUAUUCCAGGGACCUCACUAAAGAGAAAAAAAAUCCUGGCACAAUGAAAAAAUAAAUCAGCUGCAGCUGCCAAUAGUUUCAGCUUUGAAUUGUUUGCAUUUACUUGGACUGGAGGUGGUUCAAUCAGACAUUCAUGUCUGCCUUGUGUCAACGGUUUGUGAAGCCUUGAAGCAACUCCAAUGAACUAUUCCUUCCCCAAAACAAAUUAAAGACAAGGGGCUACAGCAGCAGUAACCAGAGGGCUAAAAGCUGGAAAAUGUCACACCACAGUUGAAGCGAAACUGAUAUAAAUCCAUGAUGUGAUGACCUCUUAAAAAAAAAUCCAAGCAAAGUCAAUCUAUGUUUAAUACUCAACCUUUUCCACAUGAGUAAUGCAGAAAGGGUUUACAUAUGGAAGGAUACUUUGAGGGUUAAGAAAUGUUUGUGUAGCAAAUAGUUCUUGAUGUUAAAUAUUAGCAAACAGUUGUUCACUAACAAAUUAUUAUCAAACAGCUGCUCACAGUAAAAUUACAAACACGAUCUUUUAAGAGACACCUAACUGGAAAGCUGGAUCAGGAAGCAAAAUGGCUCAGUUAAGAAGUCUGUCACAGAAGAUAGUGACGAUUUUAAAAGGAAAAUAGGCUUCUAAGCAAGAUGAGCUUGUUUGUAGCCAUAGGAAGCUUUCUGCGCUUGCUGCAGUAUGAUGAGAAUGAAGUCACCAACAUAUAUAAGCUAUUGCUCCAUUGAGGUUUUGCAGUUCUCCAGUACUUUUCUUCCAGUCAUCCAACUGCCGAAGCCUUAUGCUAGCUAAAGCAUCUCUUAUUCUGGAUUGGUGAAACUGAUUGUGUUCUUUUCACCUGAUCUUACACAGUAACUCCCAGGCAUUCCCAGAACAUGCUCCAGUUCUUUGAAAACCUCUAUUACUCUAAUUAAUGCCUGCAGGACAAGAAUUGUGACAGUACAUGAGGGGUUUUUCUCUACAUCAUGCAAGUAAAUCCAUGUGCUCUAGCAAAUAAUCUGUUGCAGACAAAUUAGUAUAACAAACAUGUGGGCAGAGACAUGAGUUUUGCUGGAGGGCAGUGUUUAGCCAAAGCUUUAGUUGGCAGUUCUUCUGUGUGUUUACUAAACGUUAAGGACUGUGUGGUUUGACGUUUUGUUUUUAUUGUUUAGGAGUUUUGCUGCUUUUACUGUCAAGUGUUUGCUUUCUAUGCUGUAGAGUCCAAAGGUCCCAUCUUCCCCCUGUCUGCAGUGUAUAUGUGAGGAAUUGUAAGACUUUAAACUGCUGAAGUAUCAUCAAAUGCAGUGCUUCUCCAACUUUGUGGAUCUGCUUCCCUUUUGAGCCCUUCUAUCUUCGACUAUCAUCACCCUCUUCUUAGAGGGUAAGAAGUUCUCGAGGGAGGUUCUCCUCCCCCUUCUACUCUGCCAUGGUGAGGUCACAUCUGGAGUACUGUGUCCAGUUCUGGGCCACUCAGUUCAAGAAGGACAGAGAACUACUUGAGAGAGUCCAGCGCAGAGCCACAAGGAUGAUUAAGGGAGUGGAACAUCUUCCUUAUGUAGAAAAGCUAAGGCAGCUGUGGCUCUUUAGCUUGGAGAGGAGGAGACUAAGUGGUGAUCUCAUGAAUGUUUAUAAAUGCAUAAUGGGUGACUGCCGAGAGGAUGGAGUCAGGCUCUUCUCGUUGAUACCAAAUGACAGGACAAGGGGUGGUGGGUGGAAGUUGAGGCAUAGAAGUUCCAUGUAAAUGUGAAGGAAAAUGUCUUCAUUGUGAGGGUGACAGAACACUGAACAGGAUGCCCAGGGCAGUCAUGGUGUUUCCCUCUCUGUAGAUAUUCAAAACUCACCUGGAUAUGUUCCUGUGUGAUCUGGUAUAAGUGACCCUGCUUUGGCAGGGGGUUGAACUGGAUGAUUUUUCAAGGUCACUUCCAGCCCCUGACAUUCUGUGAUUCUGUGAAGUUCUUCCACAUAAGGAGGAAAGCAAAGUGGGUGUAAUUGCUCCAAGUAUUAAUGGUUUCCAGGGAACCCCUAACUACCUUUAAUUGCUGGCAGCAACUAGGCAAUUAGUUGUUCUCUGAGUAGUAUAAACACAUUAUAACCUCCUUUGAACUCUGCUUUGAGAACCAACUUGAGAUAGAAGUCCCACAAUUUGAGGAAAGACAGAUCUCCAUACAAGCAGAAUUACGGAAAAGCAUGUGCACAAGAAAUGCGGUCAUAAACUUCAAUCUGACAUUGUGAUGGAAAUCUUUUAUUGGUUUCUGGAGUUCUCAAAGUUGUUUUAGGCUUUGUAAAAAGCUAUACAGAUUGCACUAUAAAAAAAUACUGUUAUGCCAGACUGAGUCAUAAGGAGCACAGCUAAUAAUUAUACACCAAGACAAAAAGUUGUGUGAUGCUCAUUCUCUAGCUUGUUAAUUCUUGUUAGCUCAUAGUCUUUCCAUUCUUCAUCCAACAACACUCCAAAGGAACAUCUUUGUGUAGUGUAGGCACCUUCUCCACUAUGAAUUAAGCCCAGUAGUGAGAUUCUUGAUGUAGUAAAUACAUUGCUGUGUACAGUGUUUAUUUCUUUCUAUAUGAUGUUGCAGUCAUGGUCCUUCAGCUGUAGAAGAUGCUCUGUUGCACAUUCAGAAAUUUGCCAGCUUUAAUGACUGAGGAGUUAUGUCUGUGCAAGGUAUGCCAGUUUAUUCCUGAUUCACCAGACUAAGACAACCUUCAGUCUCCUUUUCUGGAAAUGCAAGUUUUUGUGUACCAUGGGUUUCUGGUCAGGGCUUGCUGCCAAGUUCCUGUAAGCUGCAGAGAUCGAAAAGUGCUCUUCCGCAGACCACCAUCUUUUGCAGGUGAUUGUCUGCAGCACUGAGAAAAAUGAGUAACACUUAUUGUGCUGAAUUCAACAAGUCAGGUCUGUCUGGGGCUCACCUCAGUGAUCUUUGUAGCAUCUAAAAUUUAAGUUCUAGCCCCUUUGCUCUUCUGCAGUGUUCCUGAGAUGAAGCCUAUCCUUUGUACUUUGUUUUUUUUAAUGGGCAAUCUCCUACCCUAACAUGAAAAACAUCUUUCUGCUAUACAGAAUACAGUUUUGUCACAAACAGUUGAGCAGUUAAUGAUUAAUGGAAUCUAAUGCAGAAAUCCUGGGAGACUCUGUUUUUUCCAAUUAGUAUUUUCUGUGUAAUUAGGCUCAGUCCACAACAGAAAAGUGCACUGCAGUUUUACAACACUUCAGUAUGCUUUUUCUCAACACCUUUGUACCCUUAGCAACUUGGCAAGCUUAAAAAAAAAUAAAAAGCAGACUUAGGGAAUAUUGUUUCAUGAGUGACUCAAACUCAGCAAAAGCUUCCUUGCUGUACUGUAUAAAUAGUCAAAAGAUGCAACAGCCAAGAACACUACUUGGAGUUGAGAUAUGCAAAAUAAAGGAAGGCUCUCCCAGCCUAAGAAAUUAGCCUCUCAGAUGCUGAUUUGGCACAUGUAUGGCAGCUAUGUGUAUUUCAUAUAAGAGUAUUUAAAGUAGAGUAUAAGAGAUUCUGUUAAACAUCUACAACUGAUAGUCUGCUAUAGUAAUAGUUAAGUGUGUCUUACAUCAUCUUCUAAAACUUACUGUGAAUAAGCAAGGAUAAAAUGUUCUGCUCUAAAAAACAAAUAUAAAAGCAGCUACUUUGUAAUUUGAAACAAAUAUUUAGAGGAACUAAAGUUCUUACUGUGAAUUGUCAUCUCUAAUGAUCUGAAUGACUGGACAAAACUUUUAUAACUGAAAUGACUGCUUAGUAGAAAAAAGAGAGUUAAGUCUAUGUGUUUGCUGCUGUGAUGCAGCUUCCUGAGGUGGUGAAAUGAUGAUCUGAAGGCAAUACUGUAACACAGCUAUUUAUAUUUUCUUCAUUCUGAUGAUGGCUUAUUCUGGCUUACCAGCAACUUCAUUUCUUGCUUAUCUAUACUGGAAUUUACACUUUCAGCCUCUUUUUCUUGCUCGGGCACACACGUGCAGCCCACUGGGAUAGUGACGUAAUCUUCUGUGUAGACGUAACGGCCCCCAGCACACGCUGAUGUGCGACGGAGGAUGACUGUUGGCAUGUACACAGGGGUGCUGCGGAAGUGAAAAUUCUCCUCGCCAAAGAUCCCCAUGAGACAGCCUUUGCACAGACAGUAUGCUUCAGGAAUGUAUUUAGGAUAUCUUGUGGGAUCAUACGAAAUUCUAUAGGGAAGCAAAUCAUAAACGCUCAUUAGUAUCACUAAAAAUAUACCCAGCUGGAAAGCAUUAUUAUAAUGAGAUUUGACUGUAAACAUUUAUAUAAUAUUUUUGUUUUCUUUGCCAGGAAAAAUAGCUUAGCUUCUGCUGCUUGGCUUCUUAUUUGUGAAAUGCAAAGAAAAAAAGCCAUGAACUUACACAACUGAUCACAUCCUACAGUGCACACUGAAGUAUGAGGUGACUGACUGCCUUUCUAAAAUGUGAGAUUCAGGGGUUUAGCACAGUAAGUUUUCUAUUUUUGACUGGAUGGGUAAACAGAGCAUUAAAAAGGACAACUGGGCACUUCCAAACUUUUGAUCUGCCUUGACUUCUUCAAAAAUUGUUACAAAUUCCUGUUAACAUUAUUACUGUUGAAGUUAUCUUAUGUUUUAAAAUUUUAAAUGGAAUUGAAUUGUACAAUUAUUUCUGCAGUAAUUGUUUUGCUCCCUAGUAGACUGAGGGUUAUAAAGGUGCCUUCCCAUUGAAAGCAGAACUCUGCAUUGCUUUCUUUAAUGCACCUCCCUUUUUCUUCUUUAAUGAGAGAAACUAAUAUUUGCAUGCUCACACAAAGUUCAAAGUGAAGGUUAUUUCUGCCCUCACCUGAUACAUUUUGAAGUAAAGCAUUGCCCCAAAA